UUUAAAUUAGGGUUUCAAAUCAAUUAGGGUUUAUAAUUUAAAUAUUAGGGUUUCUAAAAUUAGGAUUUCAAAUAUUAAUUAGGAUUUCUCUAAUUAACAUUAAAUUCUAUAAUACACCACUUAAAUCACAUAACACAGUUAUAUAACAGUCUCGAACUCAUAAUUGAGUUUCAAAUUAGGGUUUCCAUUUGGUAAUUCACCAAUUAUUAUUAAAGUUUCUAGUUUCAGAAAUUAGGGUUUAUAAUUAGGGUCUCCUAAAAUUAGGGUUUCCUAUAAUUAGGGUUUUAAGUAUAAUACCUAUACUCAUUUACAUUAACACGAUUACCACACAACUUACACAAUUCUUUAAAGCCGAAAUUGACUUUUUG
Molecule: long non-coding RNA, 368 nt
Filed under: Panax ginseng (ginseng)
Lineage: Eukaryota; Viridiplantae; Streptophyta; Magnoliopsida; Apiales; Araliaceae
Description: long non-coding RNA (PGIN_LNC003687)
Source: RNAcentral